UCCUCUCUUAUUCACCCCACGAUCUCCUCUCUCCCGUCCAUCUCGUUCUCUUCUCUCCUCUCGUCUUUCCCCCUGGCCGACCUCCUCCUCCUCCGUCCAAGUCCAUGCCACAGAGGAGAGGGCGCCAAUCCAGCAAAGAGCCGCCGCUGCCAUGGAGGGCGGCGCCGACCUCCUCAUCCGCCCGUCCCCGCCUUCCGCGCUGCCAGGAAGCCGACAUUGUGCCUCCCUAGUCGCCCGAGAUCCAGCAACAGCAGCGGCGCCCGACGCUUGGAGGACCUGCAGCGGCGCCGUCGGAUCCACCGGCCACGACCCCGUCGCGGAUCCGGCACGGAGGCCACCGGAUCUGGCCUCUCUUCUCCUCCCGCGCGCGUCCUCCUCCCUUGAGCUCCUGCAGCAGCGGCCACGGAGGACCAUGGAGCAGCAGUGCUUGGAGAUCUUGCCCCGGCGCCGCCGGAUCCGACGCCCCCGACCCUGAGCGCAGUCGGGUCUGGCGCCCCCGAUGUGAAGCAAUGCCAUAUUUCUUGAUCUUGUUUCUGUCCAAGCUAGGGUUCUUAAUCUGAUUUGUGUCCAUGUUGUGUGUCUGUGACGCGGCGAGCUGCCGAUUCCGGCCGGCAUUCCGGCCUGUUUUUUUUAAAUCGCGAAAUUAGUAUUAGUGUCCGUCUCAGAUGUGAGCCCGACAUUGAUGUACCACAACAUCACUAAAGGUGGGUCACGCCCAUUGCUGAUGAUACAAUCGUUACAACGGUCGUCCCGUCCGUUACUGAUGCGGUUUUUCGACCGUUACUGGUAAGCCUUUCUGUAGUGGUGGGAUUUGCGUGGUACUCAUGACCCAUUUUAGGGAGUACCAAGGUAUGUAUAGUAAAAUUCCUCCAACCAGUGCUUUUAAUAACUGAUCGAUUCUUUUAAUUAUUUUUUUGAUAAUUUUGGAA
Long non-coding RNA from Brachypodium distachyon (stiff brome), 929 nucleotides. RefSeq lists it as uncharacterized. The record is from RefSeq and is a predicted model, not a curated record. The transcript is spliced from 2 exons. NCBI's taxonomy places the organism in Eukaryota, Viridiplantae, Streptophyta, Magnoliopsida, Poales, Poaceae.